GACGAACGCUGGCGGCGUGCUUAACACAUGCAAGUCGAACGCUGAAGCGUGGUGCUUGCUCUGCGGGGAUUAGUGGCGGACGGGUGAGUAAUAAGUGGGUAACCUGCCCUUGACUCUGGGAUAAGCCUGGGAAACCGGGUCUAAUACUGGAUACGACAUUUCACCGCAUGGUGGUGUGGGGAAAGGGGUUUAUUGGUUUUGGAUGGGCUCAAGGCCUAUCAGCUUGUUGGGUGGGUAAUGGCUCACCAAGGCAACGACGGGUAGCCUGCCUGAGAGGGGGGCCGGGCACCAGGGGACUGAGAGAGGGACCAGACGGCAACGGGAGGCAGCAGGGGGGAAUAUUGCGGAAUGGGCGGACGUCUGAUGCAGAGACGCCGCGUGAGGGAUGACGGCUUUCGGGGUAUAAACCUCUUUCAGAGUGGAAGAAGCGGACGUGACGGUACGUGCAGAAGAAGCGACGGCUAACUACGUG
RNAcentral lists this ribosomal RNA (472 nucleotides) under uncultured bacterium. RNAcentral describes it as "partial 16S ribosomal RNA". It matches the Rfam family "Bacterial small subunit ribosomal RNA", at positions 28 to 507 of the family's 1533-position model. The record is from RNAcentral.